GUUUUCCUUGGGAAAGACUCCGGUCACAACUGACAUGGCAGUUGGCACUUCUAAAGCUCUGGCCAAAGUAGAUCUCAGCAAUGAGGAGCUGAUACACAGGAUUCAUGUUUUUAAUUAGAAAUUUAUUACAUAAUAUAACAAACAUAUAUCUCUGUGGUGGAGCUAUCACAGCUGUGGACCUGCCUCAGCCUCACUACCCUGCCGCCCUUCCCUAUCUGUUUCCUUAUGGAUGAUAAGAGAACCAUGCCUCUGGGUGAAAAGGGUUCAACUGAUCUUGUAAAUCGUGGGACUGACCAUAAAGUGUGUUUUUGUUUCCAUUAUUGUUAUUUUCCAGAAAUCUACUCAAUGGCCAGUGGCCACUGUAUUCUGUCUUAUUUUCCAGUCUGUCUGCCGCUUCUGCCCUGACCUCUUUCAGUACGGUGUGUUUGGGAGUAGACAUGGUUGCUCCCCAUCUUCACCUUCAGAUGCUAGUUAGAGGCAGGUAGCCUAUAUCUCCCUCUCUGCAGACUAAUGAGGGUAUUUUAUUUCAACAGCAAAAAAACAUUUACACUUGAGUAUUCUCUUCCUGUAUCUGAGAUGACACAGAACUGUAUCUUAAAAUCCUGGCCUCACCAAUAGUCACAGUAACACUGUCUAGCAGAAAUCUGUACAUCUAUAGCACCAAAGUCAACGCUACUAUUUUAUUCUAGUUAGCUAGCAAUCUGACCUUUCACAUUUUCACCUACCACAUUUGAGACAUAUGCUGUCAGGAUUAAUCCAACAAUGCUAAACUACUGAAUAAUAUGAAUCUACUGAGGUUGUCAUUAAUCCAGUGUUCAUCAUUAGUUUCAGCCAGGCUACAGUUCUGUGUGGAGUUCAGUGUCUUUGAGGAAGAUAGAGAGCCGGGAUGCCUGGGGGGUCAAGAGGAGGGGAGGUUUAGAUGGGCCAGGCAAGGCCCAGACAUAGCCUGUGAUAGAUCCACCAUGUUAAACUUCACAGUGCAAACAAGGAGAAAAUCAACAAUGAAAGAAAAACCCUUUGAAUGAUGAUAAGAUCACUAGAUCCAGUGGUGGGUCUACCAGAUACCCUCUCACCGUGUAGAUUUGUGCUUUGUUGAUUAGAAAAGAAGAUGAAGUCGACCGUACAGAGAAACUCAUUGGUGUGAAUGAAGUGUCUGCCUCACCUUUCUGUGUCCCGCAGCAUGGGUUUGCAUCUGUAUAGGCUACCUGUGGUAAACCUACUAAGGGGUCCAACUAGGUUCUCUGUUACUGACGUGUUUUCUAACCAGGAAAGCAACUGGAGUCCAAACUGCACUGUGUGUGUGUGAGCGCAUGUGCAUGCCUGCAUGUGCGUGUGUACAGCAUGUGUGUAUAUAUGAGCUGUGUGUUUAAACCCAUGUCAGCAUCUCUCAGCAUCAGUUAGACAAGCUAUACAACCUUCAUCACAUUUAAACCAAGCAAUACUUUGAUACCUUGUCUCAAAAUAUAUAUAGAAAUGGUAAUAAUGCAAAUAAUAAUUUGUUAAUUCAUAAAAUCUGGUCAUUUUUCAGGAUAUAUAUAUAUAUAUAUAUAUAUAUAUAUAUAUAUAUAUAUAUAUAUAUAUAUAUAUAUAUAUAUAUAUAUAUAUAUUCCUUUACAAAACAUAAAAAAACGCCUGGAGUUCCACUCCAAAAAGGUUGUGCACACACAGUGGAGAAGCUAAAUGAAUGUCUGUAGUUCUCAAGAUUCCCAGGAGAUGGCACCAUAUUACUGAGUAACAGCUCAACAACUUCCAAACUAAAGUAGUCCUAUUAAGAAAAAUACACCAUUGAAAGUUUUUUGUUAUUUUUUGGCACGUUUUUCCCUCUUUGUUUCUUUUUUUUUGUCAGUCCUCUUCAAAAUCACCUCAUCAUAGCAUACCCUAAAAAACUCAAAGUCUGAAAAGGGAAAAGGGAGCAAAGAGUGUGUAACAGGAUGAAACGCAGAGCAGAGAGUGUGUCUCAGGAUGAAACAUGGAGCAGAGAGUGUGUAACAGGAUGAAACGCGGAGCAGAGAGUGUGUAACAGGUUGAAACACAGAGCAGAGAGUGUGUAACAGGAUGAAACACGGAGCAGAGUGUGUAACAGGUUGAAACACGGAGCAGAGAGUGUGUAACAGGAUGAAACGUGGAGCAGAGAGUGUGUAACAGGUUGAAACACGGAGCAGAGAGUGCCAGUGCACCUCGUCAUGAGGAGAGUCAUAGGGAGGUGUUGUAGGGCAGAUGGUAACACUGUAAUUGUCUGUGUCUAUGUCUCCAAUUGAACCACAGCCCAAACCACACACAAUGCCCAAGGCAGACAGGGUCUCUGACACACAGACAGGGGCUAUACAGGAACAGACAGAAUGUAAAGAAGAUUAAACUGUAUCGCUUUCAGCACCCCAGUAUUGUUUUGAUCUCUCUCUUUCUCUCUCUCUCUCUCUCUCUCUCUCUCUCUCUCUCUCUCUCUCUCUCUCUCUCUCUCUCUCUCUCUCUCUCUCUCUCUCUCUCUCUCUCUCAUCAAUGAAUAGAUAUCAAAGGGUCCUAUAAUGAUUACAGAUUUGGAGUUCAGUCUGUGUCUCUGUUUGUGCAAAUGUGUGUGUGCACCACGUGUGAGUGUGUUUGUGUGUGUGAGACACAGCCACUGCCAGGAAUCUCUGAUGGUAUUAAGGCUAAAGUGGACUCACUUCGAGGGUUUGAACUAGCGCACACACACAUACAUACACGCACCACACAGAGGAGAGGGGGGAGUGUACAGAGAGUCAGGGUGUUCCUCCCUUCACAGCCUGCAUGCGCUGUAACGAAUGGUGGCUGUAUUGCUAGCACCGUGUUUUGUGCAAAUCAUCUCCUAGUUCAGAGUUCAUAGAAAGAAUACAAUCUGAUCACACAUUUUUUCCUCAGUGAUUAACUAUGCAUAUAUGCCAAACAUUCAUAAAUAGAUCUAUAUAUUUUUUGAUUUUCAAAAAUGUAUAUGAAAACUAUCAUAUAUACAUUGCUUUUGAUUAAUAUAAAAAAGCAAAUAUUUGUAUUUUGUUCAUAUUUACAGGGUGUAUGUCAUUUUGAGAGGUUUAAAUAUUUUAGUUUCUCUUUUUCUUGGUCACUCUGAAAUUCAGAUUAGGUGAGUGAAUAGAAAAAGUUCUUAAUGUCUUAAUCCAAUAGCUACAAAAUCCACCCCUACAUUAUGGGGGGGCAUAACAAAUAAACACAAACCAACAAUCAACUCUUACAAUAUGGAGGGGGGCAUAACAAAUAAACACAAACCAACAAUCAACUCUUACAAUAUGGGAGGGGGGCAUAACAAAUAAACACAAACCAACAAUCAACUCCUACAUUAUGGAGGGGGGGAAUAACAAAUAAACACAAACCAACAAUCAACUCUUACAUUAUGGAGGGGGGGCAUAACAAAUACACACAAACCAACAAUCAACUCUUACAUUAUGGAGGGGGGGGGCAUAACAAAUAAACACAAACCAACCAUCAACUCUUAUAUUAUGGAUGGGGGGGCAUAACAAAUAAACACAAACCAACAAUCAACUCUUACAUUAUGGAGGGGGCAUAACAAAUAAACAUAAACCAACAAUAAACAUAAACCAACAAUCAACUCUUACAUUAUGGAGGGGCAUAACAAAUAAACACAAACCAACAAUCAACUCAAAUUACAAUAUGGAUGGGGGGGGGCGUAACAAAUAAACACAAACCAACUCUUACUUUAUGGAGGUGCAUAACAAAUGAACACAAACCAACUCUUACAUUAGGGAGGGGAGGGGCAUAACAAAUAAACACAAACCAACUCUUACAUUAGGGAGGGGGGCAUAACAAAUAAACACAAACCAACUCUUACAUUAGGGAGGAGGGGGCAUAACAAAUAAACACAAACCAACAAUCAACUCUUACAAUAUGGAGGGGGAAGCAUAACAAAUAAACACAAACCAACUCUUACAUUAGGGAGGGGGGCCUAACAAAUAAACACAAACCAACAAUCAACUCUUACAUUAUGGAGGGGGGGGCAUACCAAAUAAACACAAACCAACUCUUACAUUAUGGAGGGGCAUAACAAAUAAACACAAACCAACAAUCAACUCUUACAUUAUGGAUGGGGGCAUAACAAAUAAACACAAACCAACAAUCAACUCUUACAAUAGGGAGGGGGGGGCAUAACAAAUAAACACAAACCAACAAUCAACUCUUACAUUAUGAGGGGGGGCAUAACAAAUAAACACAAACCAACAAUCAACUCUUACAAUAUGGAGGGGGGCAUAACAAAUAAACACAAACCAACAAUCAACUCUUACAAUAUGGAGGGGGGGAUAACGAAUAAACACAAACCAACAUUCAACUCUUACAUUAUGGAGGGGGGGCAUAACAAAUAAACACAAACCAACAAUCAACUCUUACAAUAUGGAGGGGGCAUAACAAAUAAACACAAACCAACUCUUACAUUAGGGAGGGGGGCAUAACAAAUAAACACAAACCAACUCUUACAUUAUGGAGGGGCAUAACAAAUAAACACAAACCAACAAUCAACUCUUACAAUAUGGAGGGGGCAUAACAAAUAAACACAAACCAACUCUUACAUUAGGGAGGGGGGGGCAUAACAAAUAAACACAAACCAACUCUUACAUUAUGGAGGGGGGCAUAACAAAUAAACACACACCAACUCUUACACUAUGGAGGGGCAUAACAAAUAAACACAAACCAACAAUCAACUCUUACAUUAUGGAUGGGGGGGCAUAACAAAUAAACACAAACCAACAAUCAACUCUUACAAUAUGAGGGGGGAAUAACAAAUAAACACAAACCAACAAUCAACUCUUACAUUAUGGAGGGGGGCAUAACAAAUAAACACCAACCAACAAUCAACUCUUACAAUAUGGAGGGGGGGGGCAUAACAAAUAAACACAAACCAACAAUCAACUCUUACAAUAUGGAGGAGGGGGCAUAACAAAUAAACACAAACCAACAAUCAACUCUUACGUUAUGGAGGGGGGCAUAUCAAAUAAACACAAACCAACAAUCAACUCUUACAUUAGGGAGGGGGGCAUAACAAAUAAACACAAACCAACAAUCAACUCUUACAUUAGGGAGGGGGGAAAUAACAAAUAAACACAAACCAACAAUCAACCCCACACAAAAGCCUAAAUGAGUCAGACGGUAUUGUAGUGGCCCAAAAUAUAUCCUUUUCCUUAAAUAGUGCCACAAAAUGUAAAAUGGAGGGCACUAUAGGGAUAUGGGUGUCAUUUAGAACACCCCGCAUGUCUCCAGAAUCAGGAGUGAGAUCGUCUGAGAGGUCCAAUGUGAGACAGUGAGCGUUAUCCCUACAACCUUGACACAACUUUGAAUUUACCACCUGCUAAAUGGAUACAAAGGAACGUUUCACAGAGAUAGAUUGCCAAGAAUCUUAACUGAGCAUAAAGGUUUCAGUGCUACUGUUGACUAGUUAAGGUUUUAGUGGUAGUAGAGCCCACCUGGGUCAUGUUCAGGGGAGUCCAAUGUUAAACCUCAAUGUAGAUAGUCAUGUAUUAUAGAGAACAGACAUGCUUCACUGUUGAGAAACCUAUACUACAUAUUCUUUACCUACAAAAGCAAAAAAUCUACUUGUAUAACAGGAAAUCAUGUUUGCUCUUUAUAAGACGUUCAUGACUGUUGUACCAUGUCAGGUCUAUUUGCUGCUAUUGGACCAGGUCUCUCUUGGAAAAGAGAUGUCAUCUCAAGGAGAAAAAAACCUGUAUAAAUAAAGGUCAAAUAAAUCAAAUGAAAUAAACAUGCGGUAUUCAGAAUGUUGCUCCCUCUUAAGAGCACCCUGUUGUUCUCCCGUUGUGUUGUUGUGUGUAUGGAUGACCACUCACUGUCUCUAACCAUUGAGAGAAGCUAUUCACAUUACAAUUGUUGAUUUCUUAAGACAUCUCGUUCUAUAACCCAAACCAUGGUCUCAGAUGUAGAUAAUGAUGCUACCGGUCUUAGGUUGGAUGAGGAUUGUGUCUGUGUCUGUGUGUGAAUCUAAGUGUGUUAUUUGUUUGACCAGGUGAAUGUUCAUGUGUGUACAGUAGAUAUAGAUGUAAGAUCUUCAUUUGGGCCAGUUUGCUACAGCAGGAAAAUAAUCCUGCAGCAACAGGAAAUGUGAAUUAUUAUUAUAUUAUAAUUAAUGGACAUUUUUUGGUAGGGGUUGAUACAAAAUCAAGUCUGACAUUUCAAAGUGUAAAUUACAAACUUCAGAAGCCUACAAGCACUACAAGUGCAGGAAAGUUGCAGGAAAGUUCUUCUGCAACAGGCUGAUAAUUAAGACUCUAUCUGUGUAUAUCUACAUCUGAGUAUGUGUUGAGGUCACUGGGUUUAAACUGGGGUCAACUGUGGUUUCACACCCCUCACUGUGUGGGAUACCCUUCAGCAUGACGGAAGACCGCAAGAAAAGAAGCGGAAACGAAAACACAACCUUCUGUUCAAGACGACGUGAUGCAACUUCUCAUGCUACUGUUCAGGAAAGAGUGACCAUAGAAGGACAGUUCAUCAAUAGCGUGUUGUAUAUUGAAUAUGUAUAGUUUUAGUAAAGUUGUAUAUUUUAUGAAAAAAAAAUCAUUAUAUAUCUAUAUACUUUUUUUCAAAUAUAUAUAUAUAAUUGGUAAAAACAAGUAAAUUGUUGGUGGAAUAAAUUUUAAAGUCUUCUCUCUAUACUCGGUCUAGAAGUAGGAGUCAGAGGCUCUGUAUAUAACGUAUCUUUUUUUCAACGUUCUGUCGUCCCCCCC
This is a long non-coding RNA of Oncorhynchus tshawytscha (Chinook salmon), 6713 nucleotides long. The record is from Ensembl. Lineage: Eukaryota; Metazoa; Chordata; Actinopteri; Salmoniformes; Salmonidae.